UCCAGGCCAGCAUCGAGUUGGACUGCAGGGCGCAAGGAAAGGCUUCGCCUUCGAUUCUACCGGCAUUAUUGACAAGUAUCUCUAUGCCAUGCGGCUCUCUGAUGAAACUCUCAUAGAUAUCAUGACUCGCUUCAGGAAGGAGAUGAAGAAUGGCCUCUCCCGGGAUUUUAAUCCAACAGCCACAGUCAAGAUGUUGCCAACAUUCGUAAGGUCCAUUCCUGAUGGCUCUGAAAAGGGAGAUUUCAUUGCCCUGGAUCUUGGUGGGUCUUCCUUUCGAAUUCUGCGGGUGCAAGUGAAUCAUGAGAAAAACCAGAAUGUUCACAUGGAGUCCGAGGUUUAUGACACCCCAGAGAACAUCGUGCACGGCAGUGGAAGCCAGCUUUUUGAUCAUGUUGCUGAGUGCCUGGGAGAUUUCAUGGAGAAAAGGAAGAUCAAGGACAAGAAGUUACCUGUGGGAUUCACGUUUUCUUUUCCUUGUCAGCAAUCCAAAAUAGACGAGGCCGUCUUGAUCACCUGGACAAAGCGAUUUAAAGCGAGCGGAGUGGAAGGAGCAGAUGUGGUCAAGCUGCUUAACAAAGCCAUCAAAAAGCGAGGAGACUAUGAUGCCAACAUCGUAGCUGUGGUGAAUGACACAGUGGGCACCAUGAUGACCUGUGGCUAUGACGACCAGCAUUGUGAAGUCGGCCUGAUCAUCGGCACUGGCACCAAUGCUUGCUACAUGGAGGAACUGAGGCACAUUGAUCUGGUGGAAGGAGACGAGGGGAGGAUGUGUAUCAACACGGAAUGGGGAGCCUUUGGAGACGAUGGAUCAUUAGAAGACAUCCGGACAGAGUUUGACAGGGAGAUAGACCGGGGAUCCCUCAACCCUGGAAAACAGCUGUUUGAGAAGAUGGUCAGUGGCAUGUACUUGGGAGAG
RNAcentral lists this small RNA (916 nucleotides) under Pongo abelii (Sumatran orangutan). Its description in RNAcentral is "processed transcript". Lineage: Eukaryota; Metazoa; Chordata; Mammalia; Primates; Hominidae. The record is from RNAcentral.